RNAcentral lists this non-coding RNA (29 nucleotides) under Mus musculus (house mouse). Lineage: Eukaryota; Metazoa; Chordata; Mammalia; Rodentia; Muridae. The record is from RNAcentral.
UAUCUUGAAGACAGAAAGCUUUGCCAUGA